AUACGGAGGAUGCGAGCGUUAUCCGGAUUUAUUGGGUUUAAAGGGUGCGUAGGCGGUUUGCUAAGCGGGAGGUGAAAUGCCGGCGCUCAACGUCGGAAGUGCCUCCCGAACUGGUGGACUUGAAUGACUCUGCCGUGGGAGGAAUGUGUAGUGUAGCGGUGAAAUGCUUAGAGAUUACACAGAACACCGAUUGCGAAGGCAUCUCACGAAGGGUUGAUUGACGCUGAGGCACGAAAGCGUGGGGAUCAAACAGGAUUAGAUACCCUGGUAGUCCACGCAGUAAACGAUGAUGGCUAACCGCUGGGCUUAUCAGUUCAGUGGCCAAGCGAAAGCGAUAAGCCAUCCACCUGGGGAGUACGACCGCAAGGUUGAAACUCAAAUGAAUUGACGGGG
RNAcentral lists this ribosomal RNA (393 nucleotides) under uncultured bacterium. Its description in RNAcentral is "partial 16S ribosomal RNA". It matches the Rfam family "Bacterial small subunit ribosomal RNA", at positions 523 to 918 of the family's 1533-position model. The record is from RNAcentral.